CCCGCCCCUAGGGCAGUUAGAGGCGCCGGGGUGGUGGGCUGAGCCAGCGGCUGCCGGGAGGCCAUGUCCGCAGGCCGGCGGGGCUACGCGGCCCGGCCCUGCUUGUCAGGCGAUCCUUUUGAGUAAUUUGUUUCACGGACGCGCCGUGCUGUGGGGUAAAGCAGCAGUAUGCUGCUUUCAUCUGUCCGUGAAAACGGCUUGAGAACUGGGAGGAGGCUGGAGAAAAGAUGCCCUCUGAAUCUUUGUGUUUGGCUGCCCAGGCUCGCCUUGACUCCAAAUGGUUGAAAACAGAUACACAGAUGAUAGUGUCGAACACAGUGGAACAAAGAAAGAAGAUCUGGAUGACAAAGAAAAAUGAUGAAGAAGAAACUCCCGCACAUGUGUACAGCACCAAGUCAAUUCUGGACAGUUGGUUAUGGGGCAAGCAACUAGAUAAUCUUCUGCGUUUUGACACUUAGGAAAGCUGAAUCUGAUGCUCCUUAUCUAAAUAACUUGGAUGGAUUAUUAGUAUUUUUGGUAACAAUUUUUUUGUUCUGUUUUUUUUGAGGCGGAGUCUAACUCUGUCGCCCAGGCUGGAGUGCAAUGGUGCAAUCUUGGCUCACUGCAAGCUCCAUCUCCUGGGUUCAAGGGAUUCUCCUCCCUUAGCCU
Long non-coding RNA from Rhinopithecus roxellana (golden snub-nosed monkey), 648 nucleotides. RefSeq lists it as uncharacterized. The transcript has 4 exons. Lineage: Eukaryota; Metazoa; Chordata; Mammalia; Primates; Cercopithecidae. The record is from RefSeq and is a predicted model, not a curated record.